UCCUUUGAUUUUGAGGAAGGUUUAAAGCUAGCUGCACUUAUAAUACAUGCUAGUCAGCAAUUCAAAAAGAAUAGCGGCGAACAGGUGAGUAAAGUCCAUAUUUUACCCAUACGAAGGGAUAAAAAUAUCUAUAUUUUGGAAAGAUAGGGACUCGUAUUAGACAGGAAUCUUCCGUCUAUGAUGCGUAGCCGAGAGGUCACAGUGAUACUGAUAAUAAGGAUUACGGUUCGAAUUGAACCACAGCAGUAGAGAAUAUUGGGCAAUUAACGAAAGUUGGACCCAGAGAUGUAGCGAAAAAAGACCGUCAAAAAGACGUGCCAGCAGACGCGGUGAAACGUCUGGUCUAAGUUUUAAUCAGAAAUCAGGCGUAAAGUGUGAAGAGAGUAAUAAUAGAAAGAAAGAAAGGUAAUUGGAACUUUUAGGUAUUGGUGAAAUGAUUCAAUCUAAAAAGGAACACCGAAGACGAAGGUAAAUUACCACAAGAUUCUGUAGCUUUAUUCACGAAAACAUAGGGAACAAACAGGAUUAGAUACCCUGGUAGUCUAUUGUUGUAAAACCUGAUCUAACGGGGGGGACCCCCACUGAUAACUCGAUAAGAUUCCGCCUGAAUAGUACGAUCGCAAGGUUGAAAUUCAAAAAAUUUGGCGGUUCACUAAUCCAAUUAGAGGAGCGUGUCAUUUAAUGCGAUGAUCCGCGUUUAACCUUACCUGAACUUGUAUUUUUGUUUUUUUUCCCUCUUUUUCUUCCCCUUGGGUUACAAUUACAUUAACAGGUAUCGCACGGCCGUCGUCAGUUUGUGUUGUGAGGCAUUUUCAACGAACUUAACCCCCAUUUGAAAAAAUAAGGGAUGACGUCAGGUCCUCAUGGUCCUUAUGUUCUGGGCUUGGGAUAUUUUUCCCUUUUUAUGCGCUACAUUCUUUUUAAUAUCAAUUUUAUUAACUAAAAAGUUCGGAUAAGUAUCUGAAAUGAUAUUUAUAAGUUGGAUUUAAUAGUAAUCGUAAAGUAGAGCGUUACGGUGAAUAUGGCUCUAGUGUUCGUACAAAUCGCCCGUCAACUCUACCAAGUAAGAAAUAUGUAACGAAACACCUUCUUUUUUUUGGUGGUCUAUAAAAAGAUGGACUUUGUUUAUGUCCCCAGAACUGGUGGAGUUAUUGUGAAUAUUUUUAUUAGGUUGAGUAAGUCGUAACAAAGCAAGAGUACUGGAAAGUGUUCUUG
This 1215-nucleotide ribosomal RNA is filed under the name Polyplacotoma mediterranea. Its description in RNAcentral is "12S ribosomal RNA". It matches the Rfam family "Bacterial small subunit ribosomal RNA". Lineage: Eukaryota; Metazoa; Placozoa. The record is from RNAcentral.